This 301-nucleotide ribosomal RNA is filed under the name uncultured bacterium. RNAcentral's name for it is "partial 16S ribosomal RNA". It matches the Rfam family "Bacterial small subunit ribosomal RNA", at positions 509 to 808 of the family's 1533-position model. The record is from RNAcentral.
CAGCCGCCACGGUAAUACAGAGGGUGCGAGCGUUAAUCGGAUUUACUGGGCGUAAAGCGUGCGUAGGCGGCUUCUUAAGUCGGAUGUGAAAUCCCUGAGCUUAACUUAGGAAUUGCAUUCGAUACUGGGAAGCUAGAGUAUGGGAGAGGAUGGUAGAAUUCCAGGUGUAGCGGUGAAAUGCGUAGAGAUCUGGAGGAAUACCGAUGGCGAAGGCAGCCAUCUGGCCUAAUACUGACGCUGAGGUACGAAAGCAUGGGGAGCAAACAGGAUUAGAUACCCGAGUAGUCCUGUCUCUUAUACC